CAGUCGCCACGGUAAUACGGAGGGUGCAAGCGUUAUCCGGAUUUAUUGGGUUUAAAGGGUCCGUAGGCGGACUUAUAAGUCAGUGGUGAAAGCCUGUCGCUUAACGAUAGAACUGCCAUUGAUACUGUAAGUCUUGAGUAUAUUUGAGGUAGCUGGAAUAAGUAGUGUAGCGGUGAAAUGCAUAGAUAUUACUUAGAACACCAAUUGCGAAGGCAGGUUACCAAGGUAUAACUGACGCUGAGGGACGAAAGCGUGGGUAGCGAACAGGAUUAGAUACCCGAGUAGUCCCUGUCUCUUAUAA
Molecule: ribosomal RNA, 301 nt
Filed under: uncultured bacterium
Lineage: Bacteria
Description: partial 16S ribosomal RNA
Rfam family: Bacterial small subunit ribosomal RNA
Source: RNAcentral